UCGAUGAAGAACGCAGCGAAAUGCGAUAAGUAAUGUGAAUUGCAGAAUUCAGUGAAUCAUCGAAUCUUUGAACGCACAUUGCGCCCUUUGGUAUUCCGAGGGGGCAUGCCUGUUCGAGCGUCAUUAUAACCACUCAAGCCUUGGCUUGGUAUUGGGGUUCGCGGUUUCGCGGCUCUUAAAAUCAGUGGCGGUGCCGUCUGGCUCUAAGCGUAGUAAUUUUUCUCGCUAUAGGGUCCCGGUGGUGGCUUGCCAAAACCCCCCUUAUUUCCUACGGUUGACCUCGGAUCAGGUAGGGAUACCCGCUGAACUUAA
This 312-nucleotide ribosomal RNA is filed under the name uncultured Meliniomyces. Its description in RNAcentral is "eukaryotic LSU rRNA". The stretch from base 1 to 123 matches the Rfam family "5.8S ribosomal RNA", at positions 33 to 154 of the family's 154-position model. The record is from RNAcentral. Lineage: Eukaryota; Fungi; Ascomycota; Leotiomycetes; Helotiales; Helotiaceae.